This 89-nucleotide microRNA precursor is filed under the name Paramuricea clavata. Lineage: Eukaryota; Metazoa; Cnidaria; Anthozoa; Malacalcyonacea; Plexauridae. The record is from RNAcentral.
UUGAAGGAGUUGUAAGAAAUGUUUGAAGAAACUGAUUUAAUGUUAAACAACGAGUCAGUUUCCUCAAACAUUUCUUACAAAUCUUUCAA